This 384-nucleotide long non-coding RNA is filed under the name Ananas comosus (pineapple). Its description in RNAcentral is "long non-coding RNA (ACOM_LNC009320)". Lineage: Eukaryota; Viridiplantae; Streptophyta; Magnoliopsida; Poales; Bromeliaceae. The record is from RNAcentral.
AAAAAGAAAAAAAGAAUGAAUCAAAAUGCAAGAUCUAGGAUGCAAAGAUGUAAAUCUAGGUAGAGGAUGAGAUUAUGAUGCAAAAGGUACAAGAGAUCUGCAAAAAAGAUUAAAAAAAAUUGCAAGCUUAGGGUUAACAGUAGGAAGAAGAAGAAAGAAAAAAAAAAGAAAAAAUGGAGAGGAAAUACCACAGAUUGAGGAGAAAGUGAGAGGAGAUCUGAGUGCUGGAGAAGAUUUGGGCGGUUCGGAUGAGGGCUGGGCGCAAGAUCUGGGCGACCGGACGGAGAGGAGGAAGAAGAAGAGAAAAAAAAUGGAAAAUGGGGCUUGUCGGGUUGCUGGGGACGACAAGGGGGCCCGCUAGCGGGUUUCGGGCGCUCGUGCGGG